AUUGCAAAAUAAAAUUUGAAGUGAAUCCUAUUGUGAAGAAAAGACCCCUGCAUCAUAAAAACAAACUCUCCUGAGCCACUUACUCAAAUAUAGAUCCAAGAAGCAUUUACUAGCCCAGUGGUUCUCAACCCAGCUGCAAGAAGCUUUUUAAAAAAUAUUUAUUUCCAGGCUUCACCCCAGGCCAAUUAAAUUAGAAUCUCUUGGUGUGGUGCCCUGGUAAUCGUAUGAAUUUAAAAGCUCUCCAGUAGUUCAAAUAUGCAGCCUGAGUUGUGAGAAAUUGAUCAUACCCUUUUCUAAUCUAUCACUUUCAAAGCAAUUGUAUUCCAGAAGUUGGGUAGCAUUUGUUUGCAUUUGGGAGAACAUUUUCUCAAAUGAACAAUGUUAUACAUUGUGGUUAAUUCCCCAGGCCUUUCCAUAAAAGCCUAAUUAAGUCCAAUGUAUCUGAAGCUUAGUACUCUGCUAAUGGAAUUAUAGAAUUUAAUCACCGUGUGUAACAGUGUUCCUGCUAAAAUAGUCUCCCAGAUCUAAUGGGGAGGGAGGAGAAUAGAAAAGAUCACUUCCUGCAGCCCCAACAAACAGGAGCCUCUCUUUGCUCACCCCCUGCCACCUCUCCCCCCACUUCCUGUCCUUGGGGUCCCCUGGGUGUCAGGAGGUUUGAGGGACCCAAAGAGUGCCUCUCAGGUCCCUGAUUUCCUUCAUCAGGUAGAAUUUAACCUGCCAGCUUCCCUUCUGCUGCCACAGCAGUGCUUCUGGCCAGGAGUCGCUUCUUUCUCUGGAUAUACAUGUGGUGCAGAGUCCCCUUGUGUUACGUGUGUGUGUGUGUUGUGCUUGAUUGGUUGAUUGUUUUUUUCUCUCCUGCUCUUCCUUACUGCCUUUUUUAAGUGAUGGAGUUUUUUUGUUUUUUUGUUUUUGUUUUUGUUUUUUUUUUUCUGCCAGCAAAAUGAACCAGACCAGAGAUAGAAUGAUUUUUUUCUUAUGCUGACUUGUCCCCAGCAUAUUUUUAAACUUAGACCUUGUAAGCAUAGUACCCAUAUACUUUGUCUUCAAAAAGGGCACGUUUGAAAGGAAAGAAAGGACAUUAAAUAGUUGUGCUGGACAACCCUAGGUGAAAAAGAAUGCUCCCCCUGAAAGUGGCCCAUUGGCAGCUCAAAAGAUUGAGGUCACAUUUAUCUGCAUUUCGCUGAGUGGUGGCAAGGGUUUAAAGCAAAGAUUGGGAAUGAGGCUGAGUAGGGAGUCUUCCUGUUAUCAAAGGAGAGAGACUAUUAGGUAAUAAUCUCAGCCAUAUCUGUUUUUUCCCAUUGCCACCCAAAUCACCACACUGGUCCAGCAGCCCCGGUUUGGGGCAACAUUCAUCAGUCAGAUGGAGUGAGUGGAUGGAAAUCGAGGGAGUCAGAGAAGUCUCUGCUUAUCAGUGGUCAGAGUGAAAGAAAAGAAGAAAAUGUCCCAGGGGGUUAAAAGAGAGAAGAGAGUUGUUGUAGUCACUGAGCUGCUGACAAAUGUGUUGGCUCUUUUGUGAAGGAUAAUAACAGGUCACACAAGUCACACGAGGACCAUUCGUACAACCUGAAUGUUAAAUAGUGUAUAAGACAGAGUCCUAGGGACAUGGGAACUUUUUAUACCACCGUUCUUUGUUCACAAAGACUAAGUGGUACUCAGCUGAGCUGUGUCUGCUGCUCCUUAUCCAGAUGUCUUCCCCUGUGGCCCCUUCCAGUUGUGUGCAUAUGGUUGGCAUCUAGUUAGUCGAACCAAGAUGCCAGUGUCUGGUGCUCCCACCUCGCCUGGGAGGGAGUCCAUCUCCACGUACGUGGACAUCUGUCAGAGGACAUUUCUCAUCCUUUCUACAGGGCAAAUAAGGGGGAAAAGAGUUGGGGAAAUCAGCAUACGAAAUGUCAACCUCAUGGCACAUUGAUUUUUGGAUUUAGUUAUUUGUCCCUCUGGGAAUCUCAUUCAUGUGGCACUUGGCACAAUUACUCAUCCAACCUUAUGUACUGGGAUUUUGAAUGCCUUCAGUUUCUGAGCAGACAGACUGGCAAUAAGAUUGAUCUUGUCAUUAUUUUCUUUCAAUUUGAAUUUAUGAUCUCAUGAUCAAUUUGAUAUCUAGGGAACAGUUGAAAUUACCUGGUUUAACCUCUUUUAUUUAUUUAUUUUUCUAGUCUUAUUUUCUUCAUAAGACUCCCACUCUGUCAAAGACAUCUGACAACAAAACCAAGUCUUUUGGCCCACAUAAAAAUGACUAAUACUAGAAUGACCAGAUACUAUUUUUUCAUAUGAUUAGAAGUAGUCUGUCUUAAAACUCAAAAGCUUUUCAUAGUAUUACAUCACUUUUUUAAUAUUUCUAAUAAAAAAUGUCAAAUGAAUACAACUAUCCACACUGAUAGGAUGCAUAACAAUCAUUUUAAAAGAGUAUAUGAUUAUUUAAAAUAGUUAUUAAGCAUAUAUUAUUUGCUAAGCACUUUCAACUUUCUAGAUAUUUUAUUUGCUCUUCAUAGUCGAGCCCUGAAGUAGCAUUGCUUUGAGGAAAAGAAAACUGAAACUCAAAAAUAUUUGAGUAUUCUAAGAUUAUGUAGCUUUAACUGGCUGAAUCAAGAAUUUGACAAAUUUAAUUUUCUGGGUUUUUUUUUCCCCUGACUUCAAAGCUUUGGUCUUACCCAUUCUACUCCUCAUCAGCUGCUAACAUAUUUUUCAGACUCUCUCUAUAUACAUUGAUCUUUUAUAUUAAUUCUGUAGAGCACUGAACAAAUGUUAUAGUUUUCCUGUAGCUACAAGAGAGCUUUCUGUGACUGCUUGGAAAUUAAUCAAUCCCUGUUUGUGCUGCAGAGGAGAUCUUUCUCGAGCAAAAUACCAAUCAUGUUAUUUGAUUUUUCCCAUCAUUACUACAGGAUAGUCAGAUUUCUUAGCAAGGCUUCUGGAGCGCCACAGAGUAUACCCUCCAACCUGUACCGAUUCAUCUCCCGCCUCUCUCCUAUACAUGGAAAUAUUCCCAGAGCAGUCAUGGAGUUCCUAGGACACUCUGCAUUUCCCACAUGUCUGCACUUUUGUACGUGGUCCCUCCUCUGCUGAGAAUCUGUCCUUCAUCACCAUCCUUUAAUCCCUUGCCUGAGUACCUCCUAUUCAUCCUUCAGGUCUAGCCCAGAGUUCAUCUGUCUACUGAACAUGACUCUUGCCCAGUUAUUAUACUAUGAGGUUAUCCUGUUUUCUUGCCUCUCUUCUCUACCUAUUGACUUAGAUUCAAGGACCAUGGUUCUACCCAGCCUUUAAUCUCUGCAUCCAGCACAGUUCCUGGUAUUUAUCUCAUGCUAAUAAAGAUGGAAUGCAUAAAACAAAGAUAAAUUUACUGAUAAGUUGUAUGGUUAGACACUGCUCUCAAUAACUGAACAUUGUUAGCCUGGAUGGAAUUUGAAACAUCAGUAUAUCAUCUAAUACUGAUCUUUUUCUUUCCUUUGAUGUGUUAGAAGUGUUCAGUGAAAUAUUUCUGCUUCACUUUUGGAAGUUCCUGAAGAUUAAACUCUUCAUCCAGUCUCUUUGGCACUAUUGAUACUUCGUUGGAUAUAAUGUUAGGUAACCAGGGCAUAUAAUGAAAAGGAAAAUAGAAGAAAAUGUUUGUAGUACAGGAAUAAAAGAGAGUAGGCCUGGAAUCUGAAGCAAAAAGAACAAAGAUUUGGAAAGUUAUCUGGUAGGGCUUAUAAAACUGGGAGCUAGUCCUGGAACAGCUUCCAAAAAGAGCCCUCACAGCAGUGUUUGCAAUGCUGGUUCUCAGUGCAUCAAUAAUGGUCUUUGAAAGUGAUGAAAUACAGAUAUUUUUGCUGCUAAAGUGCCAUUAUUUCAGGCAUACAUAAGCAGUUCUUUCUCCAUCAUUGGCUCUCUUUCCUCAGCCUUCUCCUAAUCUCUUCUACUUCUCUAUGUCCUGCUUUCCUGGUGUCCUUUUUUCAAGCUAAUGAAAAACUAACUAACAUUUUCUGAACUAUUGUAUUUCUAUGCUAAUUUAUUCUGAUCAUCUCAUUGCAAGCCAGUGAAAAUUUCAUGAUGAACUGGCACCAGUUUACGCAUUAGCCCUUGAGAACCAUGGCUCGAAGCCUUUAGCUCAGUUUUCUGUUUAUAAAGUUUCCUAUGUAGAUAGCUUCUGAUGGAUUUUAAUCCUCACGUGUCCAAAUUUUUUUUUUUAUUCUGCAAGUUCAAUGCAUUCUGGUCCUUAAAAUGUUAAACUGAAGUUUAAAUGUAUUCCUUAGUAGAAAUCCCCAGACCGAUGCUGCAUUGUCCAUUUAUAAGUUAUUUUUAGUGUCUUCCCUUGAUAAGGCAACUGUUGUUUUCAUUAGACCUGGGGAGCACUGGAAGGCAGGUUCUCAUGACUGGGAUCAUCUGGAGGAGACCCUGGAGGACAUUUCUUAUCUGAAAUAAAUGAGGUUGAUCUUCAGGGUAUGGGGGAGUCCGCAUUCCUGCUGCUUAAUAGUUGAGAGCUCAGGAAAGGUAGCCCAGUGGAAUAGAAUGAGUGUGUGUGCAUGCAGUGGGGAGUCCAUAAGUGCCUGGGGGACCAUUCCUCCCAGGGUCUCUGCAGUAAUUAGAGGAUGGUGCAGAAUAUAGAGUCAGGAAAAUCUGGACUGGAAAGAUAGCUCACGCAUUUGCUACUGUCAUGAUCUGGACAAAUAACUUCUCUUUUCCUCUGAGUACAAUUGUAUGUAGAACCACAAAGGAUUACCAGAAUGCUUUAAAAAAAAAAAUCCACAAAUUAGUUGUAGCAGUAACUACUGUGUAAACUUUCCUCCUUUUCUGAGUCUCAUGUUUUUCUUAUUCUUUCUCUGAUUAGCCUUUUUUCUAGCCUUGGAAAAUUAUACCCAGAUUUUUGAUUGAGUGGAGGUUCAAUGCUCCAGACCUCAAAGGUCAACUGUAUUUGUUAUGGGAGGUAAAGGCGGCAUUAAGAAUAGCGUUGGAAUUCCUGCUGUGGCACAGUGGGUUAAGGAUUUGACUGCAGUGGCUGUGGUCUGUGCAGAGGUGCAGGUUUAAUCCUUGGCCCUGUGCAAUGGGUUAAGGGUAUGGUGGUGUAGCAGGUGUGGCGUAGGUUGAAGCUGUGGCUCAGAUUUGAUCCCUGGCGUGGGACCUCCCAUACCCC
RNAcentral lists this long non-coding RNA (5104 nucleotides) under Sus scrofa (pig). Its description in RNAcentral is "lncRNA (ENSSSCG00000060973.1)". Lineage: Eukaryota; Metazoa; Chordata; Mammalia; Artiodactyla; Suidae. The record is from RNAcentral.